GUCCAGCCGACGAGUCCCGAAUAGGACGAAACGUGAGUCCUGGAU
This 45-nucleotide non-coding RNA is filed under the name Schistosoma mansoni. Lineage: Eukaryota; Metazoa; Platyhelminthes; Trematoda; Strigeidida; Schistosomatidae. The record is from RNAcentral.